This is a non-coding RNA of Pseudonaja textilis, 222 nucleotides long. The record is from RefSeq and is a predicted model, not a curated record. NCBI's taxonomy places the organism in Eukaryota, Metazoa, Chordata, Lepidosauria, Squamata, Elapidae.
AAAAGAUGGUGGCCGCGUCUAUACAGGAUGGAGAGGCAGUUUGGUUUGGCUGCGACGUUGGAAAAUGUUUUAACAGCAAGCUAGGCAUCAACGAUUUGAAGAUAUACAACCACGAGCUGAUGUUCGGGGUGUCCGUCAAGAAUAUGAAGAAAGACGAGCGGCUGAUUUUCGGGGACUCCAUGAUGACGCACGCCAUGGUCAUUACAGCCUUCACGAAGAAAG